GCACAAGCGGUGGAUGAUGUGGAUUAAUUCGAUGCAACGCGAAAACCUUACCUACCCUUGGCAUGUCCGGAAUCCUGGAGAGAUCUGGGAGUGCUCGCAAGAGAACCGGAACACAGGUGCUGCAUGGCUGUCGUCAGCUCGUGUCGUGAGAUGUUGGGUUAAGUCCCGCAACGAGCGCAACCCUUGUCAUUAGUUGCCACCAUUCAGUUGGGCACUCUAAUGAGACUGCCGGUGACAAACCGGAGGAAGGUGGGGAUGACGUCAAGUCCUCAUGGCCCUUAUGGGUAGGGCUUCACACGUCAUACAAUGGUCGGUACAGAGGGUCGCCAACCCGCGAGGGGGAGCCAAUCCCACAAAGCCGAUCGUAGUCCGGAUUGGAGUCAGCAACUCGACUCCAUGAAGUCGGAAUCGCUAGUAAUCGUGGAUCAGCAUGUCACGGUGAAUACGUUCCCGGGUCUUGUACACACCG
RNAcentral lists this ribosomal RNA (469 nucleotides) under uncultured beta proteobacterium. RNAcentral describes it as "bacterial SSU rRNA". It matches the Rfam family "Bacterial small subunit ribosomal RNA", at positions 923 to 1392 of the family's 1533-position model. Lineage: Bacteria; Pseudomonadati; Pseudomonadota; Betaproteobacteria. The record is from RNAcentral.